This 103-nucleotide transfer-messenger RNA is filed under the name Oleiphilus sp. HI0066. It matches the Rfam family "transfer-messenger RNA", at positions 270 to 374 of the family's 374-position model. Rfam says of the family: Bacterial tmRNA, also known as 10Sa RNA or SsrA, is named for its dual tRNA and mRNA-like properties. Its role is to liberate the mRNA from a stalled ribosome. The record is from Rfam by way of RNAcentral. Lineage: Bacteria; Pseudomonadati; Pseudomonadota; Gammaproteobacteria; Oceanospirillales; Oleiphilaceae.
CCCGUUGGGCUGUGGAAGGUUAAACUAAUUAACGGAAUCUAAGCAUGUAGAGCCGAUGGCAGAGUGCUGACGGACGCGGGUUCGACCCCCGCCAUCUCCACCA